AGUGAGCGCUGGCGGUAGGCCUAACACAUGCAAGUCGAACGGCAGCACAGUAAGAGCUUGCUCUUACGGGUGGCGAGUGGCGGACGGGUGAGGAAUACAUCGGAAUCUACUUUUUCGUGGGGGAUAACGUAGGGAAACUUACGCUAAUACCGCAUACGACCUACGGGUGAAAGCAGGGGAUCUUCGGACCUUGCGCGAUUGUAUGAGCCGAUGUCGGAUUAGCUAGUUGGCGGGGUAAAGGCCCACCAAGGCGACGAUCCGUAGCUGGUCUGAGAGGAUGAUCAGCCACACUGGAACUGAGACACGGUCCAGACUCCUACGGGAGGCAGCAGUGGGGAAUAUUGGACAAUGGGCGCAAGCCUGAUCCAGCCAUACCGCGUGGGUGAAGAAGGCCUUCGGGUUGUAAAGCCCUUUUGUUGGGAAAGAAAAGCAGCAGGUUAAUACCCCGCUGUUCUGACGGUACCCAAAGAAUAAGCACCGGCUAACUUCGUG
RNAcentral lists this ribosomal RNA (492 nucleotides) under uncultured bacterium. RNAcentral describes it as "partial 16S ribosomal RNA". It matches the Rfam family "Bacterial small subunit ribosomal RNA", at positions 29 to 507 of the family's 1533-position model. The record is from RNAcentral.